GCCAAAAAAAUAAAAAUAAAAAAUCGCUACAGUGACCCGAAAUUCCAAUUCCAUGAUUUCAAGGAAAAUGCUGACGUGGAAUGAAAGAUGGAAUUUCAAUUCUAGAAAAAAUUUUGGACAAUCAAACAACCAAAAGUUGAAAAAUGAAUUUUCCAUGGAAAAAUGGAGCACCGCCUUAGUUUACUUUAAUUAACUUGUUUGGCAGAACAUUGCACGGAUCCCGCGGAAAGAAUUUUUGGACACUAAAUUCGCACCGUUUGGUAGACCCGAAGAUAAUCUCACAUCAAUACUCUGGGGUCCAAAUUUCCUAUCAUCCGCACUAUAUCAACUCUCCCCACCUGAGGAUGUUGCAUUAGCAAUAUCAUUAGUGAGGCCGGCAUCUCUCUUUAUGCAAGAUUUGUCAAAUAGGAGCCCAUUUUCCAAUGAAAGGUUUGGAUCCGUAAAGCGUGCUUACAUCAUAACUGGCAAAGAUAAAGCCAUAUCACCAGAGUUUCAACGCCGAGAAAUUAAAAAUACUGGAGUGACAAUCGUGAAAGAGAUAGAAGAUGCUGACCACAUGGCCAUGAUUUCAAAGCCCCAUGCACUUUGCCAAUAUUUAUUGGAUAUAACAAAAUAAAUAUAUUUAAAAAAUUAUUUUCUUUACUUGUUCAGAUGUAAUGUACUCUUAUGAUACUCGUGGGGAGUGAUUAAAUACAACUUUUGAAUUUUUGCUUCA
Molecule: long non-coding RNA, 715 nt
Organism: Olea europaea var. sylvestris
Lineage: Eukaryota; Viridiplantae; Streptophyta; Magnoliopsida; Lamiales; Oleaceae
Exons: 2
Source: RefSeq, a predicted model, not a curated record